This is a non-coding RNA of Caenorhabditis elegans, 248 nucleotides long. NCBI's taxonomy places the organism in Eukaryota, Metazoa, Nematoda, Chromadorea, Rhabditida, Rhabditidae. The record is from Ensembl.
UUUUGCCGGAUGAGCGCCAGCAGGAGUAGAAGAAGAAGGAGGUAGCAAAAAUAUAUUUCGAGUGAAAAGAAAACUGGUCUUAAAGGCGGUUGGUUCAUCGCCCCGAAAACAAAUAGGCCAAGAGCCAACGAAAAAGUGCGAGCGCGAGCCGUUGAAGAACGAACGAAACAUGAAACUUUCCCCGGCUCGAGGCCUACGGCCUGGAUCGGGAACAAUCUACUGAAUUGCUUCACGCGGCGCGAAAAACA